GCCAAUGGAGGUGUGUGAUGACCUGAGUCGUAUGGCGAGUAAAACUAUUUUUGGGGAAGUGAGAAGGGGAACUAGAUAAAUCUUAUUGAAGGUAUUUGACUUUGUGGCGAAAUAGUGUGAUAACUAACCGCAUGUGGUUUACUAGUUCAGCCAAUCUUGACGUGAUUCUAGUGAAUUUGCAUUUUAGGCUAGAUGUAAUGGGUAGUAUCAUCUAUUAGUAUACCACAUCCGUAAUGCAUAAUAUUAUAUGUUAUUAUUAUAGAAUAGUUUAUUUAUUGUCAUGUAAGACACAUGAUAACACAUUAUUUAAUAUAAUACGGUAUCAUGAUAUAUACCUGGCCAAACGGGCUGGCCCAGCACGGCACGGCCCGGCCCGCCGUAAACGUGCCACGCACGGCACGGCCCGCCUGGGCCCGAUUAAUAUACGGGCCGUGUCGUGCCGGUCCGCGUGCCUGGCAGCCAGGCCCAAGCACGGCACGGCUGGGUAAACGGGCCGGCCCGAGGCACGAUUAGCACGAUGGGUCUGAUUUUUUUAAGCAUAUGGGCCUAUUGGGCCAUAUUCUUGCAUAUAUAUAUAUAUUAAAAAAAUCUGAAAAUAUAUAUAAAAAAUAAACGGGCCGCGCCGUGCCGGCACGCAUGCCCAGCCUCCAGGCCCAGGCACGGCCCGAGGCGUGCUUCGUGCCGGGCCCGAGCACGAUUAACCCGUGCCGGGCCGGGCCCGUGUCGUGCUAGGCACGCGGGCUGUCGGGCCGGCCCAUUUAGUCGGCCUGUUUGGUCAGGUAUAUCAUAAUAUGAUACUCAACCUUUUUUUUUAUUCAGUUUUACAUCCCUUCAUUAAAAUUGCCUAGUUAACGUACAUGAUAGUACUAUGAAUGAUACUUUCUUUACAGACAGCCUCGUGGGCUCCGGCUACCGAGAAUCUCGUUAAAGUGGAGUCAUACCAAUGCACGUAGACUCACGCACCUAUCACUAGUAAUCUUGCCAGAUAUUAAUGGAAGGCGAAAAUACACGUCUCACACUGGUAAUAAAUCUUAGUGGUGGGCCUGGAUUGCACCGGCACUCCUAAUUUUGUCUCAGGUUAGCCAUGGACCAAGAAUUGCCAGUGGCGGGUGCAACCGAGGAUAUACCAUUGGUAUAUCAGUGAUGGCGUGUAAUCCUUGACGGCCACUGACAAUAUGGGCCCACAUUAGUUUAGAGGCAAGCCUGGUCCUAAGUGACCGCACACAGCGAUACCAAUCAAACUGGGAGCAACUAGUUGAGGGGCAUUUCCUCACAACUCUCCCAGCGAUCACUCCCACGCGUUGAUAUUUGACGCGUUCUUAGUUGUUGUCAUGUGUCGCGUUUUGAGCAUUUUUUUAUGUUUGUUUUGUUAUUUUUUUGCAUGUGUUUACGGCUUUUUAGAUCGUUUUUCGGGGUUUUUUGGUGUUUUGGUUUUUCAUCGUUCUUUAUUAGCUUUUGGAAAAAAUCAAAAAAUAUGUAAAAAAUGUGUUUUUUACGUGAGAUAUGGUUUUGCUUUCGUGAGAGGCAUGAUUUUGCUUCUGCGAGAGGCAGGACCGUGCCUCUCGAAAAGGGGAAAACCAUGUUUUUGGUUUUUUUCGUAAGAGGCACGGUUUUGCUUACGCAAGAGACACGGUUUUGCCCACGCGAAAGGCACGACCAUGCCUCUUGAAAAGGGAAAACACAUUUUCUUUUUUUUCACAAGAAGCGCGUUUUUCUUCCAUGAGAGGCGCGGUUUCUAAUUUGUUUCUAACGUGAGAGGCAUGAUUUUUUUGUCCGGUUUUCCUAUGAAAAAAUGUUCGUCAAAAGCUAUCAACUUGGGAUUUAGUUUAAAAAAUCUCAACGCGAGAAACGCAAAAAUGAAAACAGUACGAGAUUUAAACGCGCGGUUUAUGAAAUAAAAUAUUUUAAAAAUACGGAUAUAUAAAAAAGAGAAAAACUUCCAUGUUAUGUAUGAAAUACGGCACUUUUCGGUGGCAUUCAUCUCUAAAAAAAGAUAUGCUGGAAUUUUAUCUAUUUUGGACCAGCCCAAUAAUAAUUUCACAAAUUCAUAAUAAAUACUAAAGGCCCACGCAGCCCAUUCGUGCAAGUCAAGAGGUGAAAAAAAGUAGUUCCACAUUGCUAGUUUAGUGGGAGUUGGACCUCCUUAUAAGGAAGGAUGUUUCCACACAUGUAUGAGCUUGAGAACAAGAGAGACAUGCAUGCGCGCUCCUCCUCCUCCGUCGCACGCCUCGCCUCGUCACGCCACGCCACGGGUUGCGGGAAUGAGCCGAGCCGAACUAAUUUUUUGCCGCGCGCACGAUUGGUAUACAAAAGGUCACUCGAAAGACGAACGUUUUGCUAUAGUGGAAAUUGAACACGAACGCUGCACCUGUUUGUUCGUUUCGUCUCCCUCGUUCUCUUCGGCUCCCGUCGCUUGCCUCUCGCCUCCUUCUCUAGCGCCUAUAAAAGGGAGGUCGCUCCUCUCCAGAGAUAUACAUCAGAACUUUCUCUCGCCACCAGUUUCAUUCUCUGUGUUGCUGCUACGUUCUUCCCCAUCCCGACUUGCGGCGUGCACCGUAGGUCGGAACAGUAGGCCUCCGAAACUCCGUCUCUUCGAGUCCUGUACGGCAGAAGGGCGAUAAGGUUUUUGGGGAGCGCUCAGCGCGACUACUGGCGUUCAUCACGAACAUCGACGACCACUUCCCGGACAACGACUUCUUUCCCGACGUCGAUCACCUCUUCGGUACCAUGGCCACUGACAACGCCAACACAAACUCUACUGCUGUUGCUGCUCAGUACGUGCUUCUGUUCCUUUCGUUUGAGUUCUUGCCGCAACUUCUUGCUCUAGUUUCUCUUCUAGAUAUGUUCCGUUUCUACUCAUCUUUCGAGAUGUCUUCUUGCGUGUGUAGAACGGCUCUAUAUAUGUUCUUUUGUAGAUCAUAUGUGCACAUGUCUUUUGUUGUCUCAUCUUUAUAUUACCUGUCUUGUUUCAUCUCUAUUAUGAUAGUCAUGUUUUAUCUAUCUUUUCUGUUAAUAAAAUUUUAUGAUAAAUUGCUCAUAUUUCCAACAAGAUAUUCCUCGAAUGAAAUUGAAAUAAAAGAAAAAGCAGAACAAAGAAGUACGAGUCUUAGGUGUAUGAUGAUCAAACCCAUGUGUCUCCGAUGCAUCUGUGACCUGACAUUUCGCACAUUAAUUUUGCAACACAGAGAAAACCAUGGCUGGUAUGGAAUAUUCCGGACAAAGACCUGAAAACGAGCAUGCAUGGCAACGUGUAUCUCGUUUGGAUGGGACAACCAGCGUACUGAUCAUUCACAGAUCUGGAUACAGACCUCUUGGCAGAACCGUCAUCAGCAUCAAGGUCCGACACCUCGGUGACAUUAUGGCAUUCACGUACGAGAAUAACGCACACCUAAACUGCGAGAGAUGAGAGAUAAAUUCCAGAAUUCGCGUGAAUGCACACACCAAAAGAGAUGGCUCUGAGUCUAAAAAAAAAAAAGAUGGCUUCCCUGCACUCAUAUAGAGUAGUUAUUUAAAACCUUAAAAGCAAAAAAAUUAGAACUGGAACAAUUGGAAGCAGCCUGAUGAUUAUUAUCACAGUUGCAACUUGCAUGAGAACAAACACAUUGCACUAAGAAACUGACCCUGUCAGUUAUUGGAUCUCUUCCUUCAGUCUCUCCCGUUGUUCUCCUUCUUCAGAGAGAUCACUGGAUACAAAAUCCUUACCUGGAGUGUGUUCCCAGAUACCAAGUUCCAGUGAUAACAACUACAGUCGUAAUUAACGCAUGCACCUUGCCGAUCGACCUUAAUUUGGUAUACCAAUCGCAAUCAACCUUGCAAUGAGGGAACAAACUCAUAAGUAGAAGCACCAAAACUUGACAGAGUCAACAAUGUGAGUCCUGGUCAGCAUAGAGAUCAUGUGCAUAGAGAUCAAGUAGAACCACAAUGGCCUAGAGCCCGUGCACUAGUAAAUAGCACAAGCCAGCCGAAGUUUGGGCCAAGAGUGGUAUAAACAUGCCUAAAAACGCCUCAAAAACUAUAAUGUGCAUAAGAGUGUAGGAGACGAUGACAGCCAUGUCCCAGUUGCAUUCAUCUCAGAAGCAGAUUUCACAACAAAUUAUAUUCAUUCACAAGCAAAGAAACGCUGAAUAGGCUAAUAUGUAGAUUGCUAAAAGAAUCUUAGUAACUGAAGCCACAUGUAUAACCAACAGGAUGAACACCAGUAACAUGAUAAAGGUGCAACAACAGACAUUAGCUACAAAGCUGUGACAAUGGAGCAAAGGAAUGACACAUCCCAGUGUACCAUGCCAUUCUAACACUGUAAACCCCGAAGAAACACUCAAGGAAGAAAAAAAAAUGACAUCUGAUUUUCUGGCACAAGAUAAACAGCAACUAUAAAGAGAAAUAACAAGCUGAAUCCCUAUAGAUAGCUGCUCAUGGAUUCACCCGAGGCGGAUCUCCUCCCUCUAUCAGAGUUUAUUUAAGCCACAGCAGGCAUGUCCUUGAGCCAACCGUCGAGUGGCUUGCCAAUGGAGUAGACAAUGAAUCCAAUUUCCCUGAGCUUCUCAGAGUCAACAACAUUGCGGCCAUCAAAAACAAAGGCAGGCUUCUGCAUGCUGUCAUAGAUCUUCUUGUAGUCAAGAGUCUUGAACUCAUCCCACUCAGUCAUGAUGCAGAUGCCAUGGGCAUCCUUGGUCGCCUCAUACGCAUCCCAGGUAACCGAGACUUGCUUUGUAGUUGUGGGGCUCAUUGGCUGGAGAUGGACAGGGUGGUCCCAGUCAAAUUUGUUC
This 4766-nucleotide long non-coding RNA is filed under the name Hordeum vulgare. RNAcentral's name for it is "long non-coding RNA (HVUL_LNC008959)". Lineage: Eukaryota; Viridiplantae; Streptophyta; Magnoliopsida; Poales; Poaceae. The record is from RNAcentral.